CAAAAGCGUAUAUUAAAGUUGUUGCGGUUAAAAAGCUCGUAGUUGAACCUUGGGCUUGGCUGGCCGGUCCAUCUUUUUUGAUGCGUACUGGACCCAGCCGAGCCUUUCCUUCUGGCUAGCCUUUUGGCGAACCAGGACUUUUACUUUGAAAAAAUUAGAGUGUUCAAAGCAGGCCUUUGCUCGAAUAUAUUAGCAUGGAAUAAUAGAAUAGGACGUUAUGGUUCUAUUUUGUUGGUUUCUAGGACCAUCGUAAUGAUUAAUAGGGACGGUCGGGGGUAUCAGUAUUCAGUUGUCAGAGGUGAAAUUCUUGGAUUUACUGAAGACUAACUACUGCGAAAGCAUUUACCAAGGACGUUUUCAUUAA
This 364-nucleotide ribosomal RNA is filed under the name uncultured eukaryote. RNAcentral's name for it is "partial 18S ribosomal RNA". It matches the Rfam family "Eukaryotic small subunit ribosomal RNA", at positions 592 to 976 of the family's 1831-position model. The record is from RNAcentral.